UACGAAAGGGGCUAGCGUUGUUCGGAAUUACUGGGCGUAAAGCGCACGUAGGCGGCAAUGUAAGUUGGGGGUGAAAUCCCGGGGCUCAACCCCGGAACUGCCUCCAAAACUACAUAGCUCGAGGAUGUGAGAGGUUGGCGGAAUUCCGAGUGUAGAGGUGAAAUUCGUAGAUAUUCGGAAGAACACCAGUGGCGAAGGCGGCCAACUGGCACAUUUCUGACGCUGAGGUGCGAAAGCGUGGGGAGCAAACAGG
This 253-nucleotide ribosomal RNA is filed under the name uncultured bacterium. RNAcentral describes it as "partial 16S ribosomal RNA". It matches the Rfam family "Bacterial small subunit ribosomal RNA", at positions 524 to 776 of the family's 1533-position model. The record is from RNAcentral.